Molecule: ribosomal RNA, 560 nt
Filed under: Escovopsis sp. ACRO424
Lineage: Eukaryota; Fungi; Ascomycota; Sordariomycetes; Hypocreales; Hypocreaceae
Description: eukaryotic LSU rRNA
Rfam family: 5.8S ribosomal RNA (bases 200-353)
Source: RNAcentral
UCAUUACCGAGUUUUUAUCAACUCCCUUACCCCAUGUGAACGUUACCAUACCGUUGCUUCGGCGGUGCGGCCCCGGCGGCCCGGCUCCCUGCGAGCCGGCGCCUGCCGGGCUCAGGCCCCCGCCGGAGGACCCAAACUCCAUGUCUUUUUGCGAGUCUCUGAGGCGGCCCUGGGCCGAUCAAAAAAACAAAUGAAUCAAAACUUUCAACAACGGAUCUCUUGGUUCUGGCAUCGAUGAAGAACGCAGCGAAAUGCGAUAAGUAAUGUGAAUUGCAGAAUUCAGUGAAUCAUCGAAUCUUUGAACGCACAUUGCGCCCGCCAGCACUCUGGCGGGCAUGCCUGUUCGAGCGUCAUUUCAACCCUCUGCCGCCCCCCGGGGCGGCGGGCUCUUGGGGGACGGCCGGCCGCCUCGCGCGGCGGUGCCGCCCCCGAAAUGCAGUGGCGACCGAGCCGCGAACUCCUCUGCGCAGUAGACUUGAGGCCCCUGCGGCCGAACGAGACUCGCACCGGAUAGCGGAUCGGCCCCGCCGUGAAACCCCAAACUUCUGAAAGGUUGACCU